Long non-coding RNA from Myotis davidii, 805 nucleotides. RefSeq lists it as uncharacterized. The record is from RefSeq and is a predicted model, not a curated record. Lineage: Eukaryota; Metazoa; Chordata; Mammalia; Chiroptera; Vespertilionidae. The transcript has 2 exons.
GUGUAGCUCUCAAAUGAUGUUAUAAAUAUCCAAAUGGCCCUUGGUAGAAAAAAGAUUCCGCAUCUCUGCUUAUCAGAUAGCUAAUUUUUGAAGAUUGGAAUGAAAAUUGGGAUUGAUAUAUGAACUGUUUAAAAAUAAAUAUUACUAUAUUUGUAGAGGUACUUUACAAGAAAUAUUAAUUUAUAUAUUAGCAUAAUGAUAAUGGCAUUACCACUUAGGCAUGGCAUUUACUAGUUAGGAAACAUUUUUACAUAUUAAAUCAUCACAGCAACCCUCUGAGGUAGGAAAAAUUAUUCCUCUAUUAAUGGUGAAAAAAUAGGUUCAGAUUUUUCAAGUUGUUCAUCCAGAUUACAUAGCAAUACCACAACAACUUUACUAAAUGAAAAAGACAUGGUCUUAACCUCAAAGAUCUUGAGUGUUGGGAGCCUCACAAAGUGAAUAGUUGUGAGGUAAGUGAUGGAUCUCUGAUGCCUAUCAAAGGAAACUAGACUCAUUUGGAUUCAUAAAUACAAGAAUAGGUCACAUUUGUCACCUAUUUACUCAAAAGUAAACACAGGAGACAGCUCACCAACCCAGCAUCAUCAUUAAAAGUUUCUCCUCCAUGGGAGUGAGUAGUCUUCAUGGCAGUUUACACAGCCAUCCAAGAAUUAUUCUCUGGACACACCACAAAUGAUAGCUCAAGUGCAAGAAAUAAGACCGCACCAGUUUUCCACUGAUGAAAACGACAAAGACAUAAUAUAAAAACAGGUAAUGAGUCAUAGUGAAAUAGAAUAUAUUAAAAUCAAUAAAUUUUACCAAUGGAAAA